CCUACGGGAGACAGCAGUGGGGGAUAUUGCACAAUGGGGGAAACCCUGAUGCAGCGCCGCCGCGUGGGUGAAGAAGCGCCUCGGCGCGUAAAGCCCUGUCAGCAGGGAAGAAAAUGACGGUACCUGCAGAAGACGCCCCGGCUAACUACGUUCCAGCAGCCGCGGUAAUACGUAGGGGGCAAGCGUUAUCCGGAUUUACUGGGUGUAACGGGGGCGCAGACGGCGAUGCAAGCCAGGAGUGAAAGCCCGGGGCACAACCCCGGGACUGCUCUUGGAACUGCGUGGCUAGAGUGCAGGAGGGGCAGGCGGAAUUCCUGGUGUAGCGGUGAAAUGCGUAGAUAUCAGGAGGAACACCGGUGGCGAAGGCGGCCUGCUGGACUGCAACUGACGUUGAGGCCCGAAAGCGUGGGGAGCAAACAGGAUUAGAUACCCGGGUAGUC
This 440-nucleotide ribosomal RNA is filed under the name uncultured bacterium. RNAcentral describes it as "partial 16S ribosomal RNA". It matches the Rfam family "Bacterial small subunit ribosomal RNA", at positions 338 to 795 of the family's 1533-position model. The record is from RNAcentral.